AGCGAACGCUGGCGGCGUGCCUAACACAUGCAAGUCGUACGGGGAGCGUCGGGGCAACUCGACGCUUCCAGUGGCGCACGGGUGCGUAACACGUGGGUAACCUGCCCUCGAGUGGGGGAUAACCUGCCGAAAGGCGGGCUAAUACCGCAUAACAUCCCGGUGACUUCGGUUGCCGGGAUCAAAGCUCGCAAGAGCGCUUGAGGAGGGGCCCGCGCCCGAUUAGCUAGUUGGUGAGGUAACGGCUCACCAAGGCGAAGAUCGGUAGCCGGUCUGAGAG
Molecule: ribosomal RNA, 277 nt
Filed under: uncultured bacterium
Lineage: Bacteria
Description: partial 16S ribosomal RNA
Rfam family: Bacterial small subunit ribosomal RNA
Source: RNAcentral